GUGAUACCAAACCAUCCCUUAUUUUCAGUAAAAUUUUGCCUAUUGAGCGAAAAACCGAUUGGGGUAACCAUCAGAGAUCUUGUUGACACCUCCCGAGUCCCAACACAGUAGUCUUUGCCACUGAGCCGAAUGGCCAGGACCUGAUACCUUAGCUCUGCGCAUCUGCCUUCGCAGUUCUAGGGCUCAAAUCCAUCUCCACGGGAUGUCAUUAAAAGAAGGGCUCAUGAACGUCAGUGUUAUGCCAUUGUUCUUAGUUUCCUACUGUUUACAGAAACGGCCUCUCUGCCCUGAAACUAUGCUCACAAUAUACAUCAUUCCCCACUUUCUAGAAUUUAUGGCAUGAUGCACUUUGCUUUCAUCUUUGCUAUUUUUAUAUCUUUUGUGUAAAUACAUCUUUAAGGGAAGUUGUUUAAAAAUUUCAUAUGUAAAUUAGAUAGUUACCUACGCAAAUGAAAUGCAUGCCUGAAGAUGGAUUGUUUAUA
Molecule: long non-coding RNA, 482 nt
Organism: Malania oleifera
Lineage: Eukaryota; Viridiplantae; Streptophyta; Magnoliopsida; Santalales; Ximeniaceae
Exons: 2
Source: RefSeq, a predicted model, not a curated record